UGGGUAUUAUAUUAAUAAAUGAUACAACUCGGAACAGCCAGAUGGAAGAGGUGAAUUGCGCAGGGUAUGGGGGAAGGGCCUUGAGCUGCCAUGCCCCUCAGAGUACACCCCCUCCCAGCACCUCCAUGUGUUCACCAGCCCCAAAGCUCAUCAAGUCUCUUUGUUGAAGGGUUUUGAUAAAGAGUAGUUUCCAGUGCCCCUCCCACCCAGAGGUCAGUGGGUGGGGCUGAAAGUUCCAAGCCUGUAAUCCCUUAGUCUUUAUGGUGACCAGCCCAUCCUGAGGCUCCCUAGUGGCCCCAUCCUAAGUUGCCUCAUUAGCAUAAAUCAGGUGUGACCAAAAGGGCUUGUUAUGAAUGACAAAGAUAGUCCUAUCACCUCUGUAACUCAGGCAGUUCCAGGGGCUUUAGAAGCUUUGUACAGAACCCAAAUAUAACAAAGGAUGCUUCUAUCACCCUUAUCUUUCAUGAAAUUACAAAGUUCUAGGAUCUCUGUGACAGGAACUGAGGACAAGGACCAAAUAUCUCUUAUACCACAAGAUACUAUAUUCUGUUGAAUUUCCUUGGCAUUCUUUUUUACUAGUUCCUCCUCAUGUUCCUGUAGCAGGACGAGCCGUGGACAAAACCCCAUAGACACCGAGAUAGUGAAGGAAGUAGCUUUAAUCCUCUGGAAGCAUUGGCAGACUAGCGUCUUAAAAUCCGAGCUUGUUGAGUGCACAGUUUCUGUCCCUUUUAAGGGCUCACAACACUAAAGAUUUUACAUGAAAGGGCCGUGAUUGAUUGAGCAAUCUAGGGGGUAUGUGACAGGGGCUGCAUGCACCGGUAAUCACAGUGAAACAGAACAGAACGAGAAGUUUCACAAUGUCCUUCCAUACAAUGUCUGGAAUCUAUGGAUAACAUUGGUUGCUAGGUCAUGGGUUGAAUUUUAACUAUCAGGCUAAGGUCAGGCAGGCCCAGGCCUGGUUUUGGGUCUGGUGCCUGGCACCCAGCUGCCUGCCUUUGGUUUCGCUUCCUUGUUUCUUCUUAAAACAGGUACUGAGUAUAAAACAAUAUAGAACAAUAUGGGGGGGUCUCUUUCUCUCUUCUCUCAUUUCCCCCCUUUGAGACUCUCACUCAUUUUGUUAGUGGGAAUUCUCACUUUCAUUUUCACUACUUAUGUCUUCCUGUGCAAUAGAUCGAUAGUGAUUCAUAUAAUAUACUUGUGCUGAAGCAUUCUGGUGAACUAAGGUAGCAAUGAAGCUUUUUAUCAUUUGAAGAAGUACAGGUAGCAAACAAGGGAGUAGUAAGCAGGUUCCUAUUACUAUUAUAACUCCUAUUAUAAGAGUUUUAAAUCCUCCUAUUGCUGGGAACCAAUUUCCAAACAUGGCCCCAGGAUCAAAUCCGUGCCACACUUGCACAUAUACAUGUGCCAGUUUUGUUGUAUUUUUAACUAUGUCUUCAACUACUUGCCCUUGAUCAUCUAUGUGUAGACAGCAAUUAGUAAGGUUAAAUUUUCCACAAACUCCUCCUUCAGCUGCUAGCAAGUAGUCGAGAGCUAGUCUAUUUUGGUAGAUAGCAUUCCUCAUCUGAGUCUCUUGCCAGGCAAGAACAGUCAAGGCUUGACCGGUUUUAUUAGCAAUAAUUUCUAAAACAGCUUGCAAACGUAUGAUUCAGUUGAGCAUGUAGAUGGGGGUCUGAUAUCCUCACGAGCCAUCUUGUGCCCAAGUGGCGGGCCCAUAGUAUUGUAUAAUUCUUUCAGGGGGCCAUUCAUCAUCUUUGCAGUUACCUAUGGCUAUGCUUUGUUUUUUGCGGGAAGCAUAGAAGGGAAUCCUAGGAGUUCGCCUGUUUUUAUGGGCAGUAGGAAGAAAGACGGUUUAAUAGUGCCAAUUACACAGCUACCUGUCCACUGAUCAGGUAGCUUAGCAUAGGCUCUAUGUCCACAUAUCCAGUAUAACCCAGUGGGGGCAGUCCAGUCCCGGUGGAAUUCUGGGUGGGUCCAAACAGUCUGCAAUUUUGGAAAUUUACUGAAUGGAUCUUUUUCUGUGUAAUUGGAACUCCACCAUGUAACUGUUUUUGUGGUACCAUUAUACAGUUUUUGUCCAAGACAACUAAGCCGUCCUACAGGAUGAGUGAACUCUUUUCCUUCUCUAGCUAUGCAAUAUUGUCCAAUAAUUGAGGCUUUUAGAACCCAGAAAUUGUCAGGACUAGGAUGCGGUUCUCUAGAUUGGGAAAAAAGCUAUACAGCAUAAAAUAAGUAUAUCUGCCAUGAAUCAUAUUCAUGUACAAAUGUGUGUCAAUACUGGUCUUGUGUCAUCUGGGCUACUUGGAAAAAAGAUAAAAAAGAUCUUGUUUGGCUCCAAAAAGGAAAAAGUAGCCCCUCCUGCACAAGUGGAAGCUGCAACCCUUUAGAAUUAAUAAUUACAAAUCAGGCUGCCCACUUCCUGGAUUACAUACUUUGUACUGAGUGUUAUUAUAUAAACAUGUUCCUUAUGGAGUUCCUGGGCACUCAUAAUAACUAUGGAACAAAAAGAUUGUUUUAACCUGUUGUCCUACCUCAGUGACCUGAUGUAGCCACUGAAAGCAGUCUUCCAUGUGAAAAGAAGCAGUGGAAGCUUUUACCCCACAAGUCCAUGUCAUAAGGAAAAUAAGUCCCAUGACGAUUUUCCUCAUGCUUCGGCCGUGCGCGGACCCGUCAGCUUCCGGGUGUGACUGGAGCAGGGCUUGUCGUCCUCCUCAGGGUCACUUUACAGGGAUUGUCCAGGCUUGGUUUGGCCCUCCAGGUUUCAGGGGCUGCGGGAUUUUUUUACGUGGCUGUGGUGAACCCAGGCCGGGAUUCUGUCCACCUUUACAGCUGUGGGAGUGGUCAGGAUAACGAUCUGCGUUCCUUUCCACCGUGGCCGUGAAGGAGCUACGUUCCAGUCCUUGAUCCACACAUGGUCACCUGGAGAAAAAGGGUGAACUGGGGAGAGUAAGCUGACCGGGCACCUCUCAUUUACCCAAGUUGAGAUUGUCUGGGUAAUCUUCCCUAGGGCCUGUAGCUAUCGCUGCAGUUCAGUUUCACCCAACUCUUGGGGAGUACCCGGAAGUCCUCGCAGUAUAGGAGGAGGCCUAUGAUAUAAUAUUUCAUAAAGGGAGUAUCCUGUUUUCUUAGAGGGGGUGCACCUAAUUUUAAACAAUACCAUAGGAAGGGCCUAUAUCCAUUUUAAUCCUGUCUCUUGACAUACUUUCCCUAAACUAUUUUUGAUAGUCCAAUUCAUUCCCUCCACCUUUCGGGAACUCUGAGGUUGGUAGGUGGCAUGUAGCUUCCAAGUGAUUCCUAAUACCUUUGCCGUCCUCUGUACUAAGUCAGCCACAGAUGCCGGCCCAUUAUCUGAGCCGAUUCGUAGAGGCAGUCCAAACCUAGGGAUGAGAUCUCGAAGAAGCACACGGGUUACUUCACAAGCUUUUUCAGUUCGUGUUGGAUAAGACUCUAUCCACCCAGAGUAAGUACACACUAGAACAGUAAAUACUUGUUACCUCCGCAUUUGGGCAUCUCUGUGAAGUCCACUUGAAGAUCUUCAAAGGGAGCUGCUCCACAGGCUUGUGUGCCGGGAGGAACAGGGGACCUUGCUUUGCAUUGUGCAUCGCCGCGCUACUGUUUUAGCAAGAGCUGGCAAGUGUGAGAUGUAGAAAUACCGGCUUAACAGCUUUUCAAGUGACUCCUGGCCUAAAUGGGUAGUUUCAUGUACAGCCAGCACAACUGCGGCUCCUAGCAGCUGUGGCACAGCUAUUCUCCCAUCUGGUGACUUUAUCCAUUCUUCUUUUAUUGUUUGUCCUCCCUUUGCCUGAAGAACGUCUUUUCCCUUUUUAGAAUAAGUAGGCACCAGAUCAGGUGUUUGAGGGAGUAGAGGGGCUGUGACUGAUGCCUGGUAAAGAGUAGAUGCUGCUUUUUGUGCCUCUGUGUCUGUUCGGGAGUUUCCUUGGCUUACUGAGGUGGAAGCUUGCAGGUGUCCCCUGCAAUGCAUGACUGCUACCUUUUGGGGUUUCCAUACUGCCUCUAAUAAUUGCAGAAUUUCUUGUUGAUAUUUUAUGUCCUUUCCCCCGGAAUUUAACAGGGCUUUUUCUUUAUAUAAUGCUCCGUGCACUUGGAGGGUUAGAAAGGCAUAUCGAGAGUCAGGAUAAAUGUUCACAGUCUUACCUUCACGGAGUUCUAGAGCCCGGGUUAAAGCAAUGAGCUCUGCCUUCUGGGCUGAAGUGCCGUGAGGCAACGGUUUGUCUUCAAUAACAUCAUCCAAGGUCACCACCGCACAUCCUGCGCAUCUUUCUCCUUGCGGAUUGAUGAAGCUGCUCCCGUCCACGUAUAACUCCCAGUCCACUGAUGCCCAUGGCUGGUCUCGAAGAUCGGGCCUGCUAGAAUAGACUGAGUCCAACACUUCCACACAGUCAUGUUCGACAGGGCUGUCUGAUGCUGGGAGUAAGGUGGCAGGAUUCGGAGUGUUACAGACGUCAGUGGUUAUGUGGGGGUUUUCACAUAACAAGCUUUGGUACUUGGUUAAUCUAGCAUUUGUUAACCAAUCAUGUCCUUUGGUAUUCAUUAAAGUUACCACUGCAUGGGGGGGGCCUUUAUACUUAAGUUUUGCCCAAGGGUUAGCUUGUCUGCUUCUUGUGCUAACAGGGCUGUAGCUGCCAGGGCUCUCAGACAUGGAGGCCAGCCUUUUGAAACUCCGUCUAGCUGUUUUGAGAGGUACGCCACUGGUCUUGGCCAGGGCCCCACAGUUUGGGUUAAAACUCUGACUGCCAUUUUUUGUCUUUCUGACACAUAGAGUGUAAAGGGCUUUGUCAAAUCUGGUAGUCCUAAGGCUGGGGCUGACAUAAGUUUUUCCUUUAACUUGCAAAAGGCUUGCUGUUGCAGAGGUCCCCAUUCAGAAGGCUCCUGGUCGCCCCCCUUUGUAACCCCAUACAAUGGUUUGGCUAGCACCGCAAAGUUUGGAAUCCAUAAUCUGCAAAAUCCCACGGCUCCUAGAAAUACCCUUACUUGCCUUCUGGUUUUAGCGGGAGACUUGCUUAGUAAGCUGAGAGCCACCAUUUCCUUUACAAAACAGGGCUCUUUGCAGGCUGAAGUUACAGGCAACAGGAGUUAUCAUGGCCCUUACAGUCCCACGAGAAGAAGAAUGGAGACUUUUUCUGAGCCAGGUCAGGAGAUAAAACUGGCUCUAGCUAAGAGUGUGGGCAGAGGACAAUCCUCCGGGCUGGCCACUGCAGUAGGCAGUAGCUUAGGUUCCGGUAAGCUGCAGGUGACCUGCUUUCUUCCUGACCCCAGGCUGCGCUCCCCUUUCCGGAUAGUGAAUCCCAGGUAGCGUACCUGCUGUCUGCAGAUCUGAGCUUUCUUCUUGGACACCUUAUACCCACAGUCCUCCAGGUGUCAAAGCAGGGCAUCCGUCCCUUUUGCACACCCAUCUGCCAUGGAGUCUCCUAGCAGAAGGUCGUCCACGUACUGGAGCAAGAUGCAGCCUAGGUCUUUAGCAGGAAACUUCUGGAGGUCUCGAGCCAACGCCUCCCCGAAGAUGGUGGGGGAGUUUUUAAACCCCUGGGGAAGCCGAGUCCAAGUGUACUAAGUAGUGACACCUGACCCCGGAUCUUCCCACUGAAAGGCAAACAGCUUUUGGCUCUCAGGAGCUAGCCUGAUGCUAAAGAAGGCAUCCUUCAAGUCCAGACAAGUGAACCAGCUGUCCUCAGCCAGC
RNAcentral lists this long non-coding RNA (5695 nucleotides) under Homo sapiens (human). RNAcentral's name for it is "HSALNT0098785". Lineage: Eukaryota; Metazoa; Chordata; Mammalia; Primates; Hominidae. The record is from RNAcentral.